Acanthopagrus latus (yellowfin seabream) is the source of this 515-nucleotide long non-coding RNA. RefSeq lists it as uncharacterized. The transcript is spliced from 2 exons. The record is from RefSeq and is a predicted model, not a curated record. NCBI's taxonomy places the organism in Eukaryota, Metazoa, Chordata, Actinopteri, Spariformes, Sparidae.
CUGAUUACUCCUAAUGUGCUGCAGGUGUGUGAGGGCAAAUGCUCCAGCCAGCAGGAAACCAUGAUUACACUCAGUUCAGUUUGUGCAGAAGAGUCAAAUGGCACCAAAACCAAGAAGGUUCACUCACUGCCCCUGUAGUCUCUGCUUCUUCUCUCUUCGCCUCUUAGAAUAUGAAAACAUGAGGCGGGAGAGAGAUGUCUCUUCCUUAUUUCACUAGCUGUCCCCCUGACAGUGGCCAGUCCUCUAGCCCAUCAUGUCACAUGCUUCGGUGGGGUGAGGUCAGCUGCCUGUCUGUCCAUCUGUCUGACAUGACGGGGAACGUGCUGCAUUUCUGCAUCGUCAGGGACUCCUACAGAGGCUUCAGCUGGAAGGAAUCCAACCAGAAUGCCGAUAUCAUGCUUGUCUCUGUGAUUCACUCAACCUUUCCCUGACUGUGUGAAUGUAGAGCUAAACGUAUGGGCUGAUGUGAGAGCGAAAUAAAGACUUGUUGCAGGUAGCUAACACUUCACCUCUGA